GGGGAAAAGAAACUAACAAGGAUUCCCCUAGUAGCGGCGAGCGAAGCGGGAAGAGCUCAAAUUUAUAAUCUGGCACCUUCGGUGUCCGAGUUGUAAUCUCUAGAAGUGUUUUCCGCGUUGGACCGCACACAAGUCUGUUGGAAUACAGCGGCAUAGUGGUGAAACCCCCGUAUAUGGUGCGGACGCCCAGCGCUUUGUGAUACACUUUCAAUGAGUCGAGUUGUUUGGGAAUGCAGCUCAAAUUGGGUGGUAAAUUCCAUCUAAAGCUAAAUAUUGGCGAGAGACCGAUAGCGAACAAGUACCGUGAGGGAAAGAUGAAAAGCACUUUGGAAAGAGAGUUAACAGUACGUGAAAUUGUUGGAAGGGAAACGCUUGAAGUCAGACUUGCUUGCCGGAGCUUGCUUCGGUUUGCAGGCCAGCAUCAGUUUUCCGGGGUGGAUAAUGACGGUUUGAAGGUAGCAGUCUCGGCUGUGUUAUAGCUUUCCGUUGGAUACAUCCUGGGGGACUGAGGAACGCAGCGUGCUUUUUGCGAAAGACUCGUCUUUUUCACGCUUAGGAUGCUGGUGGAAUGGCUUUAAACGACCGCU
RNAcentral lists this ribosomal RNA (587 nucleotides) under Basidiomycota sp. 5 HFP-2013. Its description in RNAcentral is "eukaryotic LSU rRNA". It matches the Rfam family "Eukaryotic large subunit ribosomal RNA", at positions 53 to 652 of the family's 3401-position model. The record is from RNAcentral. Lineage: Eukaryota; Fungi; Basidiomycota.